UACGUAGGGGGCAAGCGUUAUCCGGAUUUACUGGGUGUAAAGGGAGCGUAGACGGCUGUGCAAGUCUGAAGUGAAAGCCCGUGGCUCAACCGCGGAACUGCUUUGGAAACUGCCAUGCUAGAGUGCUGGAGAGGUAAGCGGAAUUCCUAGUGUAGCGGUGAGAUGCGUAGAUAUUAGGAGGAACACCAGUGGCGAAGGCGGCUUACUGGACAGUAACCGACGUUGAGGCUCGAAAGCGUGGGGAGCAAACAGG
RNAcentral lists this ribosomal RNA (253 nucleotides) under uncultured Lachnospiraceae bacterium. Its description in RNAcentral is "partial 16S ribosomal RNA". It matches the Rfam family "Bacterial small subunit ribosomal RNA", at positions 524 to 776 of the family's 1533-position model. The record is from RNAcentral. Lineage: Bacteria; Bacillati; Bacillota; Clostridia; Lachnospirales; Lachnospiraceae.